RNAcentral lists this transfer RNA (70 nucleotides) under Ovis aries (sheep). It matches the Rfam family "tRNA". From Rfam's summary of the family: Transfer RNA (tRNA) molecules are approximately 80 nucleotides in length. Their secondary structure includes four short double-helical elements and three loops (D, anti-codon, and T loops). The record is from Rfam by way of RNAcentral. Lineage: Eukaryota; Metazoa; Chordata; Mammalia; Artiodactyla; Bovidae.
UCCUGGUGGCUUAGUGGUAAAGAAUCUGCCUGCAAUACAGGAGACCUGGGUUCGAUCCCUGGGUCAGGAA